Molecule: non-coding RNA, 107 nt
Organism: Podospora didyma
Lineage: Eukaryota; Fungi; Ascomycota; Sordariomycetes; Sordariales; Podosporaceae
Source: the annotation of a GenBank genome assembly
GCCAUGUUAGUAUAAUGGUCAUUAUCGGGCGCGUCGAAAUGGUCGGAAAUGACUACAAGACUCCUUCUGGAGUGCACCGGGUCUGGGUUCGAUUCCCAGUCAUGGUC